This is a non-coding RNA of Aedes aegypti (yellow fever mosquito), 117 nucleotides long. NCBI's taxonomy places the organism in Eukaryota, Metazoa, Arthropoda, Insecta, Diptera, Culicidae. The record is from Rfam.
UGCCCAGCAACUCCUAUCCCUACCUCCUCGCGGUACUGGCCGGGGUACGAGUAACCUUAGGGGAGAUCGGGUAACCAACCCCCGGUGGGAACUUUGGUCGUAUGCUGACAGGGAAGG